Molecule: long non-coding RNA, 207 nt
Filed under: Lathyrus oleraceus (garden pea)
Lineage: Eukaryota; Viridiplantae; Streptophyta; Magnoliopsida; Fabales; Fabaceae
Description: Pisum sativum (pea) long non-coding RNA (PSAT_LNC015975)
Source: RNAcentral
GAUUAACCAAAAUAAUGUAUGGAUAUCAAAGAGGAUUGUUGUGUGUGAUCCAAAAGAGAAAGUGUAUUGUUGAUGAAGAUUGUUAAAGCAAUCUUGAUAAUUGUUUGAUUCGAAUUGCACUAAAGUCCAUGAACGAAGGUGUAUUCUUCGAGUAACUAGGGCCUACGCCCCAUACUCAAAGGUAUUCUAGACAAGGAUAUGAAUGAU